GACGAACGCUGGCGGCGUGCUUAACACAUGCAAGUCGAACGGUAAGGCCCUUCGGGGUACACGAGUGGCGAACGGGUGAGUAACACGUGGGUGAUCUGCCCUGCACUUCGGGAUAAGCCUGGGAAACUGGGUCUAAUACCGGAUAGGACCACUGCCUGCAUGGGUGGUGGUGGAAAGCUUUUGCGGUGUGGGAUGGGCCCGCGGCCUAUCAGCUUGUUGGUGGGGUGAUGGCCUACCAAGGCGACGACGGGUAGCCGGCCUGAGAGGGUGACCGGCCACACUGGGACUGAGAUACAGCCAGACUCCUACGGGAGGCAGCAGUGGGGAAUAUUGCACAAUGGGCGCAAGCCUGAUGCAGCGACGCCGCGUGAGGGAUGCCGGCCUUCGGGUUGUAAACCUCUUUCAGCACCGACGAAGCGCAAGUGACGGUAGGUGCAGAAGAAGGACCGGCCAACUACGUGCCAGCAGCCGCCGUAA
RNAcentral lists this ribosomal RNA (477 nucleotides) under uncultured bacterium. RNAcentral's name for it is "partial 16S ribosomal RNA". It matches the Rfam family "Bacterial small subunit ribosomal RNA", at positions 28 to 523 of the family's 1533-position model. The record is from RNAcentral.